Molecule: long non-coding RNA, 314 nt
Organism: Cydia amplana
Lineage: Eukaryota; Metazoa; Arthropoda; Insecta; Lepidoptera; Tortricidae
Exons: 4
Source: RefSeq, a predicted model, not a curated record
GGGGUCGGGGGCGGGGGCGGGGGAGGAGGCGCGCGCGGCGCGCACGCACUGCACGUGGCCGCUGGCGCCGCUCGCCGCGCUCAGCAUGGCGGAGGAGCCGGCGUGCUGCGUGCGCAGCGACCUGUUCCUGGCCGCGCACGACGAGGACUCGCAACAAAUGAUCCCGGGCGCGGGCAGCGAGCCGGUGCUGGAGGCCGCGUCGCCGCUGCCGCCGCUCGGCCUGCUCGACUACAUGCAGGAGGAGCUGAUGUACUCGGACGCGGUGGACGAGUCCUCCUUCCAGGUGCUGCUGCUCAGCGAGGAGCUCGGCUAGC